ACUUCAUUCAUUCGGUCUAAAACUCUCAACUCUCUCAAGACUCGAGCAGUUCACCCCUUCUCUAUCACUCUUCCGCUCUCUACCUGUUUCUUUCCCUCAUCAGAUCUAUGAAUCCAAAAGCCCCAAUUACAUUUUGUUUCUCUUUACUCUCUAGGUCACCCGUUCGUCCAACCCCAAAAUCGUAGAAAACUAGAGCAGUUCCAGCCAUUGGUAAAUCCCCCAACAAAAUUUCCACCGGCUGCAACAACAAUACCCAGGUUCCUAUAUAAACUUCAAAGCCGCCGACAAAAAAUUCGCAAACUUCCUCAGCACCUUGGGAAAAACCAAAAACCUGACUCCGUUUCAAAUUUUGUAUGGUAUCCAAAAACGCGACUCCUCCCGUCGGCCUGUACUUGGAUCCGAACGAAAUGGCAUUACCCGGACUCGGGCCUUUCGCCUCAGUCACUACGGCGGCGACCACCACGGUGUCGACGACGUCAUCGGCGGAGGAUCUGAGCAAAAAGAUUCGGAAGCCCCACACUAUUACCAAGUCCAGAGAGAGCUGGACUGAGCCCGAGCACGCUUUGGCUGUGAUUGGAAUAAGAUUGAAGCUUUUAUCGAGUCGAAGACAGUUAUACAGAAGCUGCUUAAUCUUGCGAAGUUAUUCUAGACACUGUUGAAUCUUCAUUACCAGGCGGUUUACCUCAAAAUGGAAGAGAGAGUGAAGGAGGGAAGUAAAAACAUAGGGGAACAUGAUCUUCUUGGAUGGAUUUUGAAGCAUUCAAAUCUUUCAAAGGAGCAAAUUCUUGACUUGAUAUUGAAGCUGCUCUUCUGAAACUUCAUCAGUAUCUAUGGCUUUAGUCAUAUAUUUCUUGCCUGGCUGUCCUAAUGCAAUUAAACACUUAGCGUAAUAUUGAUGGCAUUAUUAGAUCCGGUGAAGAAGACUCGGUCAGUGCUCAGCUUCAUGAAGUAUGCUAUUCAGUUGGUUAAGUGUCGUGAAAAUAUGGUACUUUGUUCUACUUUCUUUGCGUUAGCCUUUUUCUCUAUGCCUCCUCACAGAGUUUAGUUUCAUGCUGCAGUUAAAGUAGAAAUUUUGACAGUUAUGGCUUGUUGCAGUCUUGGGCUUAGCUUGAAUACUAGUAAUUUUAGUAUGAAGAAUCCCCUUGUAAACUCAUUACCAACUAGGGCUUUGGAGGCUUCCCUAUGUUUGAUUCUAAAAGCAUCAGCAUUGUUCAAAAGGAAAGGUAUGGUGCUUGGACCCCAAAUAGACUAAAUAGUUUAUUUGAAUGGAAAUUAAUCUGUCUUUGUUUUCAUGAUUAGAAAUCUUAUUUGUUUUUCCUUUGAGCUAAUAGAAGCGUUUUGUUUUAUUUUGUUUUUGGGUUCUUUCAUUUCAUGCAAAGUUUCUGGUACCCUGAAUUCUAAUUAUAUUGAUUGGAGAUGCCUUAUUUAAUUUCAGAUUAUUCUGCUUUGUGUGUGAAUUAAUCACUAGCUUGAUGCUUCUUUCUUCAUAUGUAUUGAGUAGUUUCUGGUCCAAAAUCAAGUAUUUACAGUUCCACAUAUUAGAAUAUAAAACAUAAAUUACACAGAGCUUGGUAUGGUAUGAAAUUUUGGGCACAUCAGGUUAUCAAAGUAUGGUUAUGAUGUUAGUUUGCUUCUAUGUAUAUGCAACUGCUCUCUUUGUCAUAAGUUGACAAGUUUUGAUCAGAGGCUGUGCAUAAUGAAACUGUAUUGUCAUGUCUUUUAAGCCCAAGGCCUUGAUUAUGGCUGAAAUUCAAGGUUCACAAACCACAUUGAGAGCUGAUAGACAAUAUUGGGUCUUAGUGCUCAAAACAUUUGAUUCCUCGGAUCUAUCUUGUACUUAUAUAUAGUUAUCCUGCUGGAACAUUCUUGAGAUAUGAAAACAUUUAACUGGGGUCUUUAUAGUUUUUGCAUUUCUUUUAUCUUCUAAGUGUAUCUGCAAUCCUUGAUAGAUGCUAACUUCAUUGGCUUCAAUAAUUGCACAAGCAUCAUCUACUAUAGCUGUGGAGGUAUUUAACAGAUUUAAUUUAUACUUUGUCAUUCUUGAGUAUUAAUUUUUUGAAACCCCAUUUUUUCUGUGCCUUUUAUGUUGAAAAUAGGAUGAUAAGCCGGAUGAAAGCCUCCAUCACAACAUGUAAUUAUACUUUAAAUUUGUUCUUCAUUUGCUUAUGUAAAUAUCUGGUUAGAUUUCUCUGUCAUGGAACAAUAAUUGCUGCAAUGUUUGGUUUUCAUUCAAAAAUGCAUCAAGCAUGCCCAUGUUUUGUUCUUUUGAUGAUAUCAUUAGGCCGAUAAUUGUUUGGGUUUUGCUUUAUACUAUGCAAACUCUGAAGGCAAGUGAUUCGCAUCUUGAAGGAGCAAGGAGCAUGUAAUAUAUUCUAGAGCCAAGCCACUGGAGGAGAACAAAAAACAAAUGUCCAAGCUAUAGAUUACAUUGUAAAUUAUUUUGCUAGUCAGCUUCAAUAGUUAGGUCAUGGAACAAUUAAUGACUAUUGUAGAUGUAUUUUGGUGGCUGUAAUGACAUUGGAGUUUUCAGAAUGAAUGAGAACAUCAAAGAAGGGCAAAAGCAAA
Molecule: long non-coding RNA, 2565 nt
Organism: Rosa chinensis
Lineage: Eukaryota; Viridiplantae; Streptophyta; Magnoliopsida; Rosales; Rosaceae
Exons: 4
Source: RefSeq, a predicted model, not a curated record